Molecule: long non-coding RNA, 207 nt
Filed under: Olea europaea (common olive)
Lineage: Eukaryota; Viridiplantae; Streptophyta; Magnoliopsida; Lamiales; Oleaceae
Description: long non-coding RNA (OEUR_LNC005324)
Source: RNAcentral
CUAGUUCAACCAAUUCAAAAAUAUAUCCUUCAAUAAAAAAUUUUCCACAUCUAGAUAACAAUUAAUCAUGACUAUUGUGCUCAAAGUAAUUCAAAAUCUCACAAUAGAUAAGCACUUUUUUUGAAAAAAUUAUGCACAAAUAGCAUAUUUGGUCAUGUAUGCAUAACUCAUGAAUCAAUAACAAUUUCAAACAUCAAAACCAUGCAA